UAAAUAUUGUUGUUAUUGUCAUUAUUACAUAACUUAAUUCAGUCACUUCUCAUAAUACUCGACCUUGACCUGGUUUUCCCAUUGUUUUUAAUGAAAUCAGUUUAUAAAGAUUUUCGUUCCACUUAAGGCGCAAUAAUUAUUAUUCAUCGCCAGUUGCCUUUCAUUGUUCACGAGUUACGGUUAUAGUUUUCAACUUUUCAAAUUUAUUGCCAUUUAAAUUCUGCGAUAAAUCUGGAAAACCCCACUGCACCCGUGAGAACAUUUUUAUUUCAAACAGAACGCAUUCAUUCUUGGUCGUUUUUAGUUUCCUAACCAGCCACUCUUUUUAACCAGUUUUACCGCAUCUGACAGCAGGCGGAUGUUGCGAAACGAUAUUUAAGCGAGAUGUUUCGAAAAGAUUAAGGGAAAGUUAAGCUGUCUGCUAAAACUCUUCUUAACCACACUUCAGAUGGCUAAACAAAUAAGGGAAUUGCUCUCUUGAUGUUCUAGUUAAAAAAAAAAAACCGAUAUGAGGAGAUAUACGCCCACUACUAUCCAUUUUUAUUAAAUGUUUUGGUUAAAACAUUCAUUAAAUGGUUAUUGUGUGAUAUUUACGUAGGAUGUACAUUGCAAGUGAAAAUUAAUACCAAUGAUUUAAGGUGAAAUUCAAUUUGAGUCACCUGAAUUUAUUACUUGAAAUUUUUUUUAUAGAGUACUUAUUUAGCUGAUCAACUUACCGCUGCAUCUGGUCCGUGUGCAUUAGGUGUUGUAGGUGGUGGUGGCCGACUUGGAAAUCCUUGUUGAUGUCCAGGAGGAGGUUGAUGUUGUUGAUGGUUAUGUUGCUGAGGACUGGGUGGCAUUUGACCCCCAGGACCAGGACCAGGAGAAUGACUUAUAGGAGGUUGGGUGGGUUGGGGAGAGGGUUGACUCACAGGCACUGAACUGGAGUUAGAGUUUUGUUGAGGUUGCUGCGAGGUCGGCGGUUGGUUUUGGGAUUGUGGUGGUGCUGGUUGUGGCUGGCCGGGACUUCCUGGACCGUGUUGGGAGUGAGAUGAUCCUCCUGAGGGCGGUGGCGGACCACCCGGCCAGCUCGUCCGCGAAUCGUACCCACCCGGUGCCGAACUUGGGGCACCGCCAUAAAACUGCAAUGAAGUUAAAACAGUUAAUGGGCCUUUAAAAAAGUAAAACUCCUUUCACCGUCAUUCAUCAAAUAACUUCCCUUUUUUUUCUAUUUGAUUAUUUAAAUAACUGUGUUAAACUCUUUUAGAUUUUUUUUAAAGAAUUAUGUAAUCAAUAAUUUGUUAUUAGAAUUAAUCAAUGAUAUAUAAAGAUAUAUUUUUUUUGUAAAUUUUUAAAAAUUAUUGCUUAAUCUGUAAGUAGUUAUUUGGAAGCAUAUUAUUAGUCAAUGCUAUAAUGAUAUGUAUAUAUAUAGGUAUUAUUUAAUUUUUUAAUUUUUAUGUAAAAAUUGUUUUUUCAGUUGAAGUUUUGCUGAUGAUAUUGUCAUAGUAGUAAGUUGAAAAAAAUGUGAAAUAGCUAUAUCAAAAAUUAAAUAUUGAUAUGACUAUAACUUGCUUUCUUUGAAAGUAGAUAAAACUAAUUUUGUAACUUUUGCCUUGACUCAAAAUACUCUCCCAAAUAUCCAGAGUAUUACACUUCAUGAAUCAAAUUGUAUUAUAGACAUAAAUAACUGUAAAUGUGAAAAAGCAAUAAAAAGAAAAGAAAGUGUUAAAUAUUUGUGAAUUCAUAUUGAUGAAAAUCUGACUUAUAAGUUUAUAAACCCACCUAAUUCAUGUCACAAGAAAAAUAAGAAAAUUAAUGUAUAAAUACUAAGUUUUAUGAACUAAGAAAUAUGCUGGACAUUAUUACAUUACAAAUGGUAUAUUUUUCAUGGAUGAAAUCUAUUAUAAGCUAUGGUUUAAUUGUGUUGGGAAAUAAAAGAAUGUUAUGAAUGCUUUAUGUGUAGCUCAAAAAUAUGUCCUGAAAAUCAUGUAUUUUAGAAACAGAAGGUAUCCAACAAAAUUAUUAUUUAAAUAAAUUGAAAUACUAAAGUGAAUUACAUCAUAAAUUGAAUACCAGAAAUAGUGAGUGGCCAAAUAUUCUAAUACCAUCUGUAACAUCUGGUCUGGUCACAAAACUUUUUAAUGCUUUGCCUGUGGACCUCAGAGUAAAACCUUAUCACAGUCAAAAAGUCAUUGUGAAUUGGGUAAAAAAAUAGUGAUAACUAUCCUUAAAUCUUGGGGUAUUUAGCUUAGUAAUACAGUUUUAAAUAGAGAUUUAAUUGAAGGAAUAAUGUGAGCACACAGAGAAGACAUUUAAUGUCCAUUGUUUUUUAACUGUAUUAAUCAUAAGGCAUACUUUUAAUGUAUCAUGCUAUACAGUUUGUUCAAUAAAUUGAAAUUAAAAAACAUGUGUUAGGUUGUGUGCUGAGUUUAUGUAUUUCUUAGUUGUUUGGCAAAUUUAUUGUUUUUGUUUUUCUUUUUUCUAGACUAAAGAGUGCCUAAGUUAACUAAUGUGUUAGUGUUAAAUGGACUUAACCUCUUUAUGUAAAGCUACAUUCAAAUAUUGUAAACAUAUUAUUUUUUUUUAAAUAUACUUUAUUUGAUGUAGAGUU
Molecule: long non-coding RNA, 2590 nt
Organism: Anthonomus grandis grandis
Lineage: Eukaryota; Metazoa; Arthropoda; Insecta; Coleoptera; Curculionidae
Exons: 2
Source: RefSeq, a predicted model, not a curated record